RNAcentral lists this ribosomal RNA (494 nucleotides) under uncultured bacterium. Its description in RNAcentral is "bacterial SSU rRNA". It matches the Rfam family "Bacterial small subunit ribosomal RNA", at positions 903 to 1397 of the family's 1533-position model. The record is from RNAcentral.
AAAUGAAUAGACGGGGGCCCGCACAAGCAGUGGAGUAUGUGGUUUAAUUCGACGCAACGCGAAGAACCUUACCAGGGCUUGACAUCCUUCGCAAUCUGCAGAGAUGCAGAGUUCCCUUCGGGGACGAAGAGACAGGUGGUGCAUGGUUGUCGUCAGCUCGUGUCGUGAGAUGUUGGGUUAAGUCCCGCAACGAGCGCAACCCCUAUGGUCAGUUACCAGCACGUAAUGGUGGGGACUCUGGCAAGACUGCCGUUGACAAAACGGAGGAAGGUGGGGACGACGUCAAAUCAUCAUGCCCCUUAUGUCCUGGGCUACACACGUACUACAAUGGCAGCAACAGAGGGCAGCCACGUCGCAAGGCGGAGCGAAUCCCUAAAUGCUGUCUCAGUUCGGAUUGCAGGCUGCAACUCGCCUGCAUGAAGCAGGAAUUGCUAGUAAUGGCAGGUCAGCAUACUGCCGUGAAUACGUUCCCGGGCCUUGUACACACCGCCCGU